AAAGAAAAUCAAAAAAAAA
Molecule: small RNA, 19 nt
Filed under: Arabidopsis thaliana (thale cress)
Lineage: Eukaryota; Viridiplantae; Streptophyta; Magnoliopsida; Brassicales; Brassicaceae
Description: ATSL178050
Source: RNAcentral